Molecule: non-coding RNA, 65 nt
Organism: Dipodomys ordii (Ord's kangaroo rat)
Lineage: Eukaryota; Metazoa; Chordata; Mammalia; Rodentia; Heteromyidae
Source: Rfam
GGUGGCUCAAUGGUAGAGUGCUUGCCUUGCAUGCAUGAGGCCCUGGGUUCAAUUCCUCAGCACCA